UUGCAAUGAUGUAUGAAUUUCUUCACCUGAAAUAAUUGUGUAGAUCAAAUACACGAGCUUUUUAACCCUGAGCCAU
This is a small nucleolar RNA of Phascolarctos cinereus (koala), 76 nucleotides long. The record is from Ensembl. Lineage: Eukaryota; Metazoa; Chordata; Mammalia; Diprotodontia; Phascolarctidae.